ACCCCGGUAUUAUUGCUGUUAUGGGUUUAAAUCGAGCUUAGCCUUGUUCAUUUUUUUACACAACACCCCCGUAAAAAAUACAACACGGCCCGCUCAAGCUCGCGGGCGCCAAGAAGACUGAAGGCAAAAAAACGCCCCAAAGUGCCUCAAAAAUGCCUCGCGAGUGCUUUUUUAGGGCAA
This 180-nucleotide small RNA is filed under the name Pseudomonas sp. GM102. Its description in RNAcentral is "sRNA P1". It matches the Rfam family "Pseudomonas sRNA P1". From Rfam's summary of the family: There appears to be two related copies of P1 sRNA in the P.aeruginosa PA01 genome and both copies appear to be located upstream of predicted glutamine synthetase genes. The record is from RNAcentral. Lineage: Bacteria; Pseudomonadati; Pseudomonadota; Gammaproteobacteria; Pseudomonadales; Pseudomonadaceae.